AGGAUCCCACUACCACCUUGGGGAGGCCAUUUUUCCUUUUCAGGCCAAGGAAUGGAAGAUUCAUUGACAACAAGGUCCAGUAGACAAAGCAAGGAUCCAAUUGAACAGAAGAGUUUGGAUCUGUGGAGGAAAUGCCAAGUUGCUUUAUGUGUAUAUUUAAUGAUAUUUCUGUUGUUCGAUGCUCUCCAAAAUACAUUGUAUAAAAAAAAAUGAAGCAUCACUGAUAUAACAUCUUUAUUUUUGUUGGAAGGCUGUGGGAAUAGGUACAUUGCAUGAAUAAUAGACUUCUAAGGAAUUACUGACUUGGGGAUGAAGCAAGCUAACUUGAUAACUGAGCACAUAGAUUUAGGAUAACUAAGAUCCU
Long non-coding RNA from Peromyscus californicus insignis, 364 nucleotides. RefSeq lists it as uncharacterized. The transcript is spliced from 3 exons. The record is from RefSeq and is a predicted model, not a curated record. Lineage: Eukaryota; Metazoa; Chordata; Mammalia; Rodentia; Cricetidae.